This is a long non-coding RNA of Mus musculus (house mouse), 2087 nucleotides long. RefSeq annotates it as predicted gene 20443. Lineage: Eukaryota; Metazoa; Chordata; Mammalia; Rodentia; Muridae. The record is from RefSeq and is a predicted model, not a curated record. The transcript is spliced from 3 exons.
GAUGAGCUCCUAGCGUCCCCUGGUGGCCACAUAUUUUGUUUUGUUUUGAUACUUUGCAGCCCAAGCUUGAACCUUCGUGUUUGUUCCUCACACAGCCGGCCGGGCUCUCCCAAGCGCUGGGACAGGACUAUCCUUCAAGCCAAGCAUCGGCCGUCUUGGGGAGCUCAGCUGUUGCCUGUUGCAGAAGGAUCACCCCAGCUGAGCUUGUGUUAGUACCUAUAGAUGGGUGGGGUCAGGAGACCCUCACCUGAGUAUCCAGCGCCCUUAAUUGCUCAUGACCUGGGGGAGGAACUACAGUCUACACACCAGGAAAACCGGGGUCAGGGGUCCAUUUUACGGCAGGCUGUGGAGAAGCCUUCAUCCCUGAUGGGUAAAGGUUUCCCAGGUGAUGCUUAUUGCGAAGGAGCACCCACACCUGUGCUCUGUGAAAGAGCACAUUGGUUCACCAUUGUGAACCUUGCUGGUUUGUCGUUCGGACCUUGAAGGAGGGGUAGACCUUGGAAAAAGUCAGAGCUCUGCUCUUGCCAGCCUCAGGUUGCCUCCAGCCUCUCCACAAUUCCUCAGUGACUGCUGGUGGUGACUGGUGACCAUUGGUUAAUUCUGGUUUGGACACUCAUUUAAAGCAGCUGUAGACAUUUUUUUCCUGGGGUCACCCUUUUCUGUGUGUGGGGGGGCUCAGUCUCUCAUCUGUUUUAGCAAUGGAUGUGUCGGUUUGUCUGUGUGGGGAAUACACACCUUAGUGCCGGCAGUGCUAGGACUCAUAAGAGGCCAUGGGACCCCCUGGGGCUGGAGUUAUAGGCUGUGGUGAGCAGCCGCUGUGAGUGCUAGCAACUGAUCUGAUUCUCUCAAAGGUCAGCAUGCACUCUGAAGUGCUAAGCCAUCCUCAGGUCCCUUUCUUUUGAAAAGCAGGGUCUCACGUAGCCCAGGAUCUUGCUUAGAUUAGCUGUUCUCAAACCUUCCUAAUGCUAUGACUCUGUAUUACAGAUCCUCAUGUGAUAGUGAUCCUCCCAACCAUAAAAUUAUUAUCAUUGCUACUUCAUAACCGUAAUUCUGCUACUGUUAAAAUCUUAGUGUAAAUAUCUGGGGGUUUUGAUCUUCUUAGGCAACCCCUGUGAAAGGGGUCAUGGCCCUCAGGUUGAGAACCAAUGGCGUAGAUGACCUUAAACUCUAGAUCUGCCUCUGCAUGCUGGGAUUACAAGCCCGUGAGUGCUGGGACUGCAGGUGUGGACUGUUGUGUCUGGUUUAUAAAGUGCUAGGGUAUAGAACUCCAUGAGUGGUAGAUACCAACUAUGCUAUAACCCCAGCUCCUUCUUUUAUUUUUAGAGAUAGGGUUUCUCUGUGUAGAACAGACUAUCCUCGAACUCAGAGAACCACCUGCCUCCAUCUCCAGAGCUCUGGGAUUAAAGGGAUCCAGACAGGAGCAUGGCUGAUGUCUUGAACGCUUCCUGAUGUGGGGAGUGCUUGAUGCUGACGAGGAAAGGAAGAGAUUCUAAAACAACACUUUAGGACAUCCCUCUAUUGCAAAGGCCAGGGCAGAGUGAAUGUGCGGUCCUAAUGUUCUGUGGCCCCGCCCUGCCUAGGCCAGUGCAGAGCGAAUGUGCUGUUCUAACGUAUUAUGGCCGCCAGAGGGCAGAACUGAGUCAAGAAGAAGAGAAGAGCAGGAGAUGGCCGCUCAGAAACAAAAAGCUAAAGAAACUGAGAUCGCUAACGGCCGCCAGAGAAGCACAUUCCAGCGCGUAUUCUCAGUGCCUUGGCAUUUCAGUGUGGCUUUCUGUCCAUCCAAGUCCAUCCCAGUACAGGGUUGAGUUUGCAACCCUUUCCUUGGUGGGUGUUAUGGUGCAUGCCAGUGACUCCAGAGGCUGGCAGGCCACGAUUGCCUUAUUGAGUUUGAGCUAAUUUGUGUCCAGCAGACUCUCUCUCAAAAUAAAAAGUAAGAGGGGAUUGGAGAGCUGACUCGGUGAUUAAGAGCAUGUACUGCUCUUUCAGAGGACUCGGCUUUGGUUCCUAGCAUGCUGGUAUCCAGCACCUCACAAUCGUCUAUAACUCCAGCUCUAGGGGUCUUUGAUGUCUCUGGCCUCCACAAGCAC